AAUGGGCGGAAGCCUGAUCCAGCCAUCCCGCGUGUUUGAUGAAGGCCCUCUGGGUCGUAAAGAACUUUAGACUGGGAAGAAACCACUUGAUGAGUCAGGUGUUGACGGUACCAGUAGAAUAAGCACCGGCUAACUCCGUGCCAGCAGCCGCGGUAAUACGGAGGGUGCAAGCGUUAUCCGGAAUCACUGGGUUUAAAGGGUGCGUAGGCGGCUGAGUCAGUCAGGGGUGAAAGCCCGCAGCUUAACUGCGGAACUGCCUUUGAUACUGCUUAGCUUGAAAGAGGUUGAGGUCAGCGGAACGUGACAUGUAGCGGUGAAAUGCAUAGAUAUGUCACAGAACACCAAUUGCGAAGGCAGCUGGCUGGGCCUACUUUGACGCUGAGGCACGAAAGCGUGGGGAGCGAA
Molecule: ribosomal RNA, 405 nt
Filed under: uncultured bacterium
Lineage: Bacteria
Description: bacterial SSU rRNA
Rfam family: Bacterial small subunit ribosomal RNA
Source: RNAcentral